This 368-nucleotide transfer-messenger RNA is filed under the name Longimicrobiaceae. RNAcentral describes it as "JACDHR01 sp013820915 Standard tmRNA". It matches the Rfam family "transfer-messenger RNA". Rfam says of the family: Bacterial tmRNA, also known as 10Sa RNA or SsrA, is named for its dual tRNA and mRNA-like properties. RNAcentral also lists the same sequence under 1 other name. The record is from RNAcentral. Lineage: Bacteria; Pseudomonadati; Gemmatimonadota; Longimicrobiia; Longimicrobiales.
GGGGGUGUCAUGGUUUCGACGGGUAAAGUGAAGACCUGAGUGCAUGCCGAGGUUUCAGACACCUCGUAAAUCCUCUGAACUAUAAUCAAACGCAAACGAUAACUUUGCGCUGGCUGCCUAAGGAACUUAGUUCCUCGCGGGCACCCGUCUGUUGAUCAGACCCGCCUGAGCCGGGUUAACAGGCGACGAAAAUUCAGGCUGGCUUGUUCGAGUGUCGCGGUAGAACAGGCGAGAUUUACGUGACUGGUCCGAGAUGGGCUGUCUGCUGGCCGUUGAUCGGGCGAGGAGAAAAAAACAGCAGAAUAAGCAUGUAGAGCUUGGGUGGGAUCUGUAUUCGGACGGGAGUUCGACUCUCCCCACCUCCACUG